GCCCCCUUCUGGUCCGAGCUCCACCUCCUUUAGGGUCCCGCCCUGGCCGCGUGCGCGCCCCCGCAGGUCCCACCCACCAACGCACCGCGCGACUGGACGUGAUGGGAAUAGCGGUCCUCUAACCCAGAGCCUGCAGACCUUGAACCGGAGGCAGAUGCACUGUGGACCGGCAACAGGAGCCGACCCGGGCAUCGCGGCGGCUCUCGGAGCAGAGCACAGCCGCAGCGACAGCGCCCGGGACAGGGAGCCUCCGCCCGGGUGCAGCCGCCGAGACCCUGGCUCCCGCAGCCUGGGAGUCGAGGAACCCCGGCUCCCGCAGCCUGGGAGUCGAAGAACCCCGGCAGGAACUGCAAGAUACCAAGCCUGUCGUGAUCUCAGGGAUUGGAGCAGGGGAAGACGUCGUCGAGGAGGAUCCAAGGUCCGAAACUGAGCAGGAAGCAGCAGCAGAAGGACAAGGCCACAUUGUCACAGGAGCUCCGGGCCCCAGGGACCAAGAGAAGCAGCAGCAGCAGGCGGCCCACGCGGCCACCGAGGGUCCGCAGCCCCGCGACAGACAGCAACGUCUCCACCGUCACACGUUCACCGGGUUGCAGCUGAAGGGGCUGGAAAGCGUUUUGCAGCGCACUCAAUACCCCGACGUGUUGGCGCGGUAUUAAACGUAAGCAAAGCAGUUGCAUGUAACGUGGGCCUUCUGCACAGAGAGGAGAUUAAUGCUACCCUGAGGGGCCAGCCCGUGCUGGGAGUGAGGAACACCCAGGAAUGCACCUGUGCAUGCCCAUGGCC
This 783-nucleotide long non-coding RNA is filed under the name Equus caballus (horse). Its description in RNAcentral is "lncRNA (ENSECAG00000051221.1)". The record is from RNAcentral. Lineage: Eukaryota; Metazoa; Chordata; Mammalia; Perissodactyla; Equidae.